This 78-nucleotide transfer RNA is filed under the name Bacteroidota bacterium. RNAcentral's name for it is "Bacteroidetes bacterium tRNA-Val". It matches the Rfam family "tRNA". From Rfam's summary of the family: Transfer RNA (tRNA) molecules are approximately 80 nucleotides in length. Their secondary structure includes four short double-helical elements and three loops (D, anti-codon, and T loops). The record is from RNAcentral. Lineage: Bacteria; Pseudomonadati; Bacteroidota.
GUUCCUUUAACUCAGUUGGUUUAGAGUGUUACGUUUACACCGUAAAAGUCAAUAGUUCGAAUCUAUUAAGGAACACAA